UACAGAGGGUGCGAGCGUUGUCCGGAAUCACUGGGCGUAAAGGGCGCGUAGGUGGCGAUCCAAGUCCAUGGUGAAAGCUCGAUGCUCAACAUCGAGUCGGCCACGGAUACUGGGUUGCUUGAGCACUGUAGGGGCAGAUGGAAUUCCGGGUGUAGCGGUGGAAAUGCGUAGAGAUCCGGAAGAACACCGGUGGCGAAGGCGGUCUGCUGGGCAGUUGCUGACACUGAGGCGCGACAGCGUGGGA
RNAcentral lists this ribosomal RNA (244 nucleotides) under uncultured bacterium. Its description in RNAcentral is "partial 16S ribosomal RNA". It matches the Rfam family "Bacterial small subunit ribosomal RNA", at positions 524 to 766 of the family's 1533-position model. The record is from RNAcentral.